This 302-nucleotide ribosomal RNA is filed under the name uncultured marine eukaryote. RNAcentral describes it as "SSU rRNA". It matches the Rfam family "Eukaryotic small subunit ribosomal RNA", at positions 1 to 295 of the family's 1831-position model. The record is from RNAcentral.
AACCUGGUUGAUCCUGCCAGUAUUUCAUACGCUCGUCUCAAAGAUUAAGCCAUGCAUGUCUAAGUAUAAACGAUUUUGUACUGUGAAACUGCGAAUGGCUCAUUAUAUCAGUUAUAGUUUAUUUGAUAGUCCCUUACUACAUGGAUACCCGUAGUAAUUCUAGAGCUAAUACAUGCAUCGACUCCCAACUGCUUCGGCGGACGGGACGUAUUUAUUAGAUUGAAACCAAUGCGGGGGAGACCCCGGUAUUGUGGUGAGUCUGAUAGCUUUGCGAAUCGCAUGGCCUUGCGCCGGCGAUGGAU